GAUGAACGCUGGCGGCGUGCCUAAUACAUGCAAGUCGAACGCUGGAGAUCUAGCUUGCUAGAUCGAAGGAGUGGCGAACGGGUGAGUAAUACAUAAGCAACCUACCCACGAAGACUGGGAUAAUCUCUGGAAACGGGGACUAAUACCGGAUAGGUAAUCGGAAGGCAUCUUCUGGUUAUUAAAGGUUAAAAACACUGGUGGAUGGGCUUAUGGCGCAUUUAGUUAGUUGGUGAGGUAACGGCCCACCAAGACGAUGAUGCGUAGCCGGCCUGAGAGGGUGAACGGCCACAUUGGGACUGAGACACGGCCCAG
RNAcentral lists this ribosomal RNA (312 nucleotides) under uncultured bacterium. RNAcentral describes it as "bacterial SSU rRNA". It matches the Rfam family "Bacterial small subunit ribosomal RNA", at positions 28 to 334 of the family's 1533-position model. The record is from RNAcentral.